RNAcentral lists this ribosomal RNA (455 nucleotides) under uncultured bacterium. Its description in RNAcentral is "bacterial SSU rRNA". It matches the Rfam family "Bacterial small subunit ribosomal RNA", at positions 338 to 796 of the family's 1533-position model. The record is from RNAcentral.
CCUACGGGAGGCAGCAGCAAGGAAUCUUCCGCAAUGGGCGAAAGCCUGACGGAGCAACGCCGCGUGCGGGAUGACGCCCUUCGGGGUGUAAACCGCUUUUCUUCAGGAAGAACGUGGGGCAACUCACUUGACGGUACUGGAGGAAGAAGGACCGGCUAACUACGUGCCAGCAGCCGCGGUAAUACGUAGGGUCCGAGCGUUGUCCGGAGUUACUGGGCGUAAAGCGCGCGCAGGCGGCGGUGUAAGCAUGGCGUGAAAGCCCCAGGCUCAACCUGGGAGGGUCGUCGUGGACUGCACCGCUUGAGGGCGGUAGGGGCUGGUGGAAUGCCUGGUGUAGUGGUGAAAUGCGUAGAGAUCAGGCGGAACACCCGUGGCGAAGGCGGCCAGCUGGGCCGUCCCUGACGCUGAGGCGCGAAGGCGUGGGGAGCGAACGGGAUUAGAUACCCGAGUAGUCC